GUCCAGACUCCUACGGGAGGCAGCAGUGAGGAAUAUUGGUCAAUGGCCGUAAGGCUGAACCAGCCAAGUAGCGUGAGGGAAGACUGCCCUAUGGGUUGUAAACCUCUUUUAUGCGGGGAUAAAGGUGUCCACGUGUGGAUGUUUGCAGGUACCGCAUGAAUAAGGACCGGCUAAUUCCGUGCCAGCAGCCGCGGUAAUACGGGGGAUGCAAGCGUUGUCCGGAAUCAUUGGGCGUAAAGAGUUCGUAGGUGGCACGUUAAGUCUGGUGUUAAAUGCAGAGGCUCAACCUCUGUUCGGCACUGGAUACUGGCGAGCUUGAAUGCGGUAGAGGUAAAGGGAAUUCCUGGUGUAGCGGUGAAAUGCGUAGAUAUCAGGAGGAACAUCGGUGGCGUAAGCGCUUUACUGGGCCGUAAUUGACACUGAGGAACGAAAGCCAGGGUAGCAAAUGGGAUUAGAUACCCUCGUAC
RNAcentral lists this ribosomal RNA (467 nucleotides) under uncultured bacterium. RNAcentral's name for it is "bacterial SSU rRNA". It matches the Rfam family "Bacterial small subunit ribosomal RNA", at positions 329 to 793 of the family's 1533-position model. The record is from RNAcentral.